Molecule: ribosomal RNA, 491 nt
Filed under: uncultured bacterium
Lineage: Bacteria
Description: partial 16S ribosomal RNA
Rfam family: Bacterial small subunit ribosomal RNA
Source: RNAcentral
AGUGAACGCUGGCGGUAGGCCUAACACAUGCAAGUCGAACGGCAGCACAGUAAGAGUUUGCUCUUACGGGUGGCGAGUGGCGGACGGGUGAGGAAUACAUCGGAAUCUACUUUUUCGUGGGGGAUAACGUAGGGAAACUUACGCUAAUACCGCAUAUGACCUACGGGUGAAAGCAGUGGAUAUUCGGACCUUGCGCGAUUGAAUGAGCCGAUGGCGGAUUAGUUAGUUGGCGGGGUAAAGGCCCACCAGGGCGACGAUCCGUAGCUGGUCUGAGGGGGGGAUGAGCCACAGUGAAAGUGAGAGCCGGUCCAGGCUCUUAGGGAAGGCAGCGAUGGGGAAUGUUGGAAAAUGGGGGCAAGCCUGCACAAGCCAUACCGGGUGGGUGAAGAAGGCCUUCGGGUUGUAAAGCCCUUUUGUUGGGAAAGAAAAGCAGCAGGUUAAUACCCCGCUGUUCUGAGGGAACCCAUAGAAUAGGCACGGGCUAACUUGGU